CAAUAGCGUAUAUUAAAGUUGUUGCAGUUAAGAGGCUCGUAGUCGGAUAUCUGCCAUCGGAUCAUUUACUUUGACUAAACUAGAGUGUUUCAAGCAAGUGCCUGCUAUGAAUACUGCAGCAUGGGAUAAUAAAAUAGGACAUUGGUUCAAUUUUGUUGGUUUCAAGACCCAAUGUAAUGAUUAAUAGGAACAGUUGGGGGCAUUCGUAUUCAACAGCUAGAGGUGAAAUCCUUAGAUUUGUUGAAGACGAACUACAGCGAAAGCAUUUGCCAAGGAUGUUUUCAUUGA
This 288-nucleotide ribosomal RNA is filed under the name uncultured eukaryote. RNAcentral's name for it is "partial 18S ribosomal RNA". It matches the Rfam family "Eukaryotic small subunit ribosomal RNA", at positions 592 to 976 of the family's 1831-position model. The record is from RNAcentral.